RNAcentral lists this ribosomal RNA (435 nucleotides) under uncultured Lachnospiraceae bacterium. Its description in RNAcentral is "partial 16S ribosomal RNA". It matches the Rfam family "Bacterial small subunit ribosomal RNA", at positions 341 to 792 of the family's 1533-position model. The record is from RNAcentral. Lineage: Bacteria; Bacillati; Bacillota; Clostridia; Lachnospirales; Lachnospiraceae.
ACGGGAGGCAGCAGUGGGGAAUGUUGCACAAUGGGCGAAAGCCUGAUGCAGCGACGCCGCGUGAGCGAAGAAGUAUUUCGGUAUGUAAAGCUCUAUCAGCAGGGAAGAUAAUGACGGUACCUGACUAAGAAGCACCGGCUAAAUACGUGCCAGCAGCCGCGGUAAUACGUAUGGUGCAAGCGUUAUCCGGAUUUACUGGGUGUAAAGGGAGUGUAGGUGGUUUGGCAAGCCAGAUGUGAAAGCCCGGGGCUCAACCCCGUGGACUGCAUUUGGAACUGUUAAACUUGAGUGCAGGAGAGGAAAGUGGAAUUCCUAGUGUAGCGGUGAAAUGCGUAGAUAUUAGGAGGAACACCAGUGGCGAAGGCGGCUUUCUGGACGAUAACUGACGCUGAGGCUCGAAAGCGUGGGGAGCAAACAGGAUUAGAUACCCUGGUA